RNAcentral lists this long non-coding RNA (244 nucleotides) under Ricinus communis (castor bean). RNAcentral describes it as "long non-coding RNA (RCOM_LNC001508)". The record is from RNAcentral. Lineage: Eukaryota; Viridiplantae; Streptophyta; Magnoliopsida; Malpighiales; Euphorbiaceae.
AAAAGGUUUAUCAUCCUUUCUCCCCCAAGAAGUUUUCCAAGAAAAAGAAGAACCCAUAUUUGGUUUAGAAUCAUACCUCUUUCUUUUCAAUUGCCUUUCCACUUUCGUGGCCAAAUUCACCAUAUCUUCAAUCUCCACAUAAUGUUGCAAAUCAACAACAUCAGCAAUGUCUUUGUUUAGCCCUCUCAAGAACCUUGCCAUGGUAGCUUCACGAUCUUCUAUCACAUUUGCUCUAAUCAUAGCC